UGGUUCUGGCAUCGAUGAAGAACGCAGCGAAAUGCGAUAAGUAAUGUGAAUUGCAGAAUUCAGUGAAUCAUCGAAUCUUUGAACGCACAUUGCGCCCCUUGGUAUUCCGAAGGGCAUGCCUGUUCGAGCGUCAUUACAACCCUCAAGCAAUGCUUGGUAUUGGGCCUGGCCUUUAAUGGCCGACCUUAAAAUCAGUGGCGGUGCCAUUUGGCUCUAAGCGUAGUAAGAUUUCUCGCUACAGAGUUCUGUGGACAUUAGCCAUCAACCCUCAAUUUUUCUAUGGUUGACCUCGGAUCAGGUAGGGAUACCCGCUGA
RNAcentral lists this unclassified non-coding RNA (315 nucleotides) under uncultured fungus. RNAcentral describes it as "partial contains 5.8S ribosomal RNA and internal transcribed spacer 2". The stretch from base 1 to 133 matches the Rfam family "5.8S ribosomal RNA", at positions 22 to 154 of the family's 154-position model. Lineage: Eukaryota; Fungi. The record is from RNAcentral.